This 451-nucleotide ribosomal RNA is filed under the name uncultured bacterium. RNAcentral describes it as "bacterial SSU rRNA". It matches the Rfam family "Bacterial small subunit ribosomal RNA", at positions 31 to 524 of the family's 1533-position model. The record is from RNAcentral.
GAACGCUGGCGGUAUGCUUUACACAUGCAAGUCGUACGAGAGUUUUUAACUCAAGUGGCGGACGGGUGAGUAACACGUAAGAAUUUACCUUUAGGAGGGGGAUAACCACUGUAAUGGUUGCUAAUACCCCAUAUGCUUUCGAGUGAAAUGGAUUUUCCGCCUAGAGAGAAGCUUGCGGCUGAUUAGCUUGUUGGUGAGGUAAUGGCUUACCAAGGCGACGAUCAGUAUCUGGUUUGAGAGGAUGAUCAGACACACUGGAACUGAGACACGGUCCAGACUCUUACGGGAGACAGCAGUGGGGAAUUUUCCGCAAUGGGCGAAAGCCUGACGGAGCAAUACCGCGUGAGGGAUGACGGCCUAUGGGUUGUAAACCUCUUUUUUCAGGGAGGAAUCAAUGACGUGUACCUGAAGAAUAAGCAUCGGCUAACUCCGUGCCAGCAGCCGCGGUAAG